GCGCCCAUAGCUCAGCUGGAUAGAGCAUCUGCCUUCUAAGCAGAGGGUCGCAGGUUCGAAUCCUGCUGGGCGUACCA
RNAcentral lists this transfer RNA (77 nucleotides) under Acidobacteriota bacterium. RNAcentral's name for it is "Acidobacteria bacterium (hot springs metagenome) tRNA-Arg". It matches the Rfam family "tRNA". From Rfam's summary of the family: Transfer RNA (tRNA) molecules are approximately 80 nucleotides in length. Their secondary structure includes four short double-helical elements and three loops (D, anti-codon, and T loops). Further hydrogen bonds mediate the characteristic L-shaped molecular structure. tRNAs have two regions of fundamental functional importance: the anti-codon, which is responsible for specific mRNA codon recognition, and the 3' end, to which the tRNAs corresponding amino acid is attached (by aminoacyl-tRNA synthetases). tRNAs cope with the degeneracy of the genetic code in two manners: having more than one tRNA (with a specific anti-codon) for a particular amino acid; and 'wobble' base-pairing, i.e. permitting non-standard base-pairing at the 3rd anti-codon position. The record is from RNAcentral. Lineage: Bacteria; Pseudomonadati; Acidobacteriota.